This 492-nucleotide ribosomal RNA is filed under the name uncultured bacterium. RNAcentral's name for it is "partial 16S ribosomal RNA". It matches the Rfam family "Bacterial small subunit ribosomal RNA", at positions 29 to 507 of the family's 1533-position model. The record is from RNAcentral.
AGUGAACGCUGGCGGUAGGCCUAACACAUGCAAGUCGAACGGCAGCACAGUAAGAGCUUGCUCUUACGGGUGGCGAGUGGCGGACGGGUGAGGAAUACAUCGGAAUCUACUUUUUCGUGGGGGAUAACGUAGGGAAACUUACGCUAAUACCGCAUACGACCUACGGGUGAAAGCAGGGGAUCUUCGGACCUUGCGCGAUUGAAUGAGCCGAUGUCGGAUUAGCUAGUUGGCGGGGGAAAGGCCCACCAAGGCGACGGUCCGUAGCUGGUCUGAGAGGAUGAUCAGCCACACUGGAACUGAGACACGGUCCAGACUCCUACGGGAGGCAGCAGUGGGGAAUAUUGGACAAUGGGCGCAAGCCUGAUCCAGCCAUACCGCGUGGGUGAAGAAGGCCUUCGGGUUGUAAAGCCCUUUUGUUGGGAAAGAAAAGCAGCAGGUUAAUACCCCGCUGUUCUGACGGUACCCAAAGAAUAAGCACCGGCUAACUUCGUG